AUCUUUCUAGUACAAUACAGUAUGAGUGGCUUCCAACCAUUCGAUCUUGGUUAAACCCCAGGGAAGGAUA
Molecule: transfer RNA, 70 nt
Filed under: Percopsis omiscomaycus
Lineage: Eukaryota; Metazoa; Chordata; Actinopteri; Percopsiformes; Percopsidae
Description: tRNA-Gly
Rfam family: tRNA
About the family: Transfer RNA (tRNA) molecules are approximately 80 nucleotides in length. Their secondary structure includes four short double-helical elements and three loops (D, anti-codon, and T loops). Further hydrogen bonds mediate the characteristic L-shaped molecular structure. tRNAs have two regions of fundamental functional importance: the anti-codon, which is responsible for specific mRNA codon recognition, and the 3' end, to which the tRNAs corresponding amino acid is attached (by aminoacyl-tRNA synthetases). tRNAs cope with the degeneracy of the genetic code in two manners: having more than one tRNA (with a specific anti-codon) for a particular amino acid; and 'wobble' base-pairing, i.e. permitting non-standard base-pairing at the 3rd anti-codon position.
Source: RNAcentral